RNAcentral lists this transfer RNA (75 nucleotides) under Cordylochernes scorpioides. RNAcentral's name for it is "tRNA-Thr". The record is from RNAcentral. Lineage: Eukaryota; Metazoa; Arthropoda; Arachnida; Pseudoscorpiones; Chernetidae.
UGUCCAGGAAAGGGAAUCGAACCCACAGUGUUCUGCUUACCGGGCAGAUGCCAUGUCCACUAGGCUACCCUGUAC